GAUGAACGCUGGCGGCGUGCCUAAUACAUGCAAGUCGAGCGAACAGACGAGGAGCUUGCUCCUCUGACGUUAGCGGCGGACGGGUGAGUAACACGUGGAUAACCUACUUAUAAGACUGGGAUAACUUCGGGAAACCGGAGCUAAUACCGGAUAAUAUACUGAACCGCAUGGUUCAAUAGUGAAAGACGGUUUUGCUGUCACUUAUAGAUGGAUCCGCGCCGCAUUAGCUAGUUGGUAAGGUAACGGCUUACCAAGGCAACGAUGCGUAGCCGACCUGAGAGGGUGAUCGGCCACACUGGAACUGAGACACGGUCCAGACUCCUACGGGAGGCAGCAGUAGGGAAUCUUCCGCAAUGGGCGAAAGCCUGACGGAGCAACGCCGCGUGAGUGAUGAAGGUCUUCGGAUCGUAAAACUCUGUUAUUAGGGAAGAACAAAUGUGUAAGUAACUAUGCACGUCUUGACGGUACCUAAUCAGAAAGCCACGGCUAACUACGUG
Molecule: ribosomal RNA, 497 nt
Filed under: uncultured bacterium
Lineage: Bacteria
Description: partial 16S ribosomal RNA
Rfam family: Bacterial small subunit ribosomal RNA
Source: RNAcentral